RNAcentral lists this long non-coding RNA (474 nucleotides) under Zonotrichia albicollis (white-throated sparrow). RNAcentral describes it as "lncRNA (ENSZALG00000005440.1)". Lineage: Eukaryota; Metazoa; Chordata; Aves; Passeriformes; Passerellidae. The record is from RNAcentral.
CACCAUGUUGUGAUUUUUUCUGAGGACCUCAAGCUGAUGAUUUGCGUUUUGGCUUGGUUUGGCUUGGUUUAGUUUGUUUUUUGUCCUUGAGAUGUCAAAGAUUCUGUUCCAGUUUCUCUUGAAAUCAUAAAGGAACCUCCCAUCUCUAUGUUUCAGAUCUGCUUGAGGCUUUAUUGACAGAAUGAAUAGUUUUGGCAUAACCAGGCAUGGACUUAAACCAGCACUGCCAGAUGCAAUCAAACUUCUCAGCAAGCAUGAUUUUCCCUACCUGAAGACUAAAUCAGUGCUGUGUGAAUCUGUUAUCUUCCAUCUCACUGCUCAAAACCGGAUCUGGGCUGACAGCAGGAACACUGAGACAGCUUGCAAUCACCAUGGAACUUCUCCCAGAUGUGAAGGCUCAUGUGCUCCUGUCCUGAAUUACACCCCAGCCUAUUGAGUGAGAAACCCAGGAUUCUCAGCAUCUUGGUGGGUAAU